This 451-nucleotide ribosomal RNA is filed under the name uncultured bacterium. RNAcentral's name for it is "bacterial SSU rRNA". It matches the Rfam family "Bacterial small subunit ribosomal RNA", at positions 10 to 507 of the family's 1533-position model. The record is from RNAcentral.
AGUUUGAUCCUGGCUCAGAACGAACGCUGGCGGCAUGCCUAACACAUGCAAGUCGAACGAGACCUUCGGGUCUAGUGGCGCACGGGUGCGUAACGCGUGGGAAUCUGCCCUUGGGUUCGGAAUAACUUCGGGAAACUGAAGCUAAUACCGGAUGAUGACGUAAGUCCAAAGAUUUAUCGCCCAAGGAUGAGCCCGCGUAGGAUUAGCUAGUUGGUGAGGUAAAGGCUCACCAAGGCGACGAUCCUUAGCUGGUCUGAGAGGAUGAUCAGCCACACUGGGACUGAGACACGGCCCAGACUCCUACGGGAGGCAGCAGUGGGGAAUAUUGGACAAUGGGCGAAAGCCUGAUCCAGCAAUGCCGCGUGAGUGAUGAGGGCCUUAGGGUUGUAAAGCUCUUUUACCCGGGAUGAUAAUGACAGUACCGGGAGAAUAAGCUCCGGCUAACUCCGUG